RNAcentral lists this ribosomal RNA (476 nucleotides) under uncultured bacterium. RNAcentral's name for it is "bacterial SSU rRNA". It matches the Rfam family "Bacterial small subunit ribosomal RNA", at positions 328 to 793 of the family's 1533-position model. The record is from RNAcentral.
CGCUAUCACUCCUACGGGAGGCAGCAGUGGGGAAUAUUGCACAAUGGGGGAAACCCUGAUGCAGCCAUGCCGCGUGUGUGAAGAAGGCCUUCGGGUUGUAAAGCACUUUCAGUAGGGAGGAAGGUAGUGUAGUUAACACCUGCAUUAUUUGACGUUACCUACAGAAGAAGCACCGGCUAACUCCGUGCCAGCAGCCGCGGUAAUACGGAGGGUGCGAGCGUUAAUCGGAAUUACUGGGCGUAAAAGCGCAUGCAGGCGGCCUGUUAAGUCAGAUGUGAAAGCCCGGGGCUUAACCUCGGAAUUGCAUUUUGAAAACUGGCAGGCUAGAGUCUUGUAGAGGGGGUAGAAUUUCAGGUGUAGCGGUGAAAAUGCGUAGAGAUCUGAAGGAAUACCAGUGGCGAAGGCGGCCCCCUGGACAAAGACUGACGCUCAGAUGCGAAAGCGUGGGGAGCAAACAGGAUUAGAUACCCUGGUAG